UUCGAAGAUGAAAUGGCACUGGGCUCCGACGGCGUCCGACAGACGACCGGUCUUGAUGGAUAUGCCUUUUUUGCGGCAGGCCUAGAAAACCUCGCCCACUGAGA
This is a non-coding RNA of Aspergillus flavus NRRL3357, 104 nucleotides long. NCBI's taxonomy places the organism in Eukaryota, Fungi, Ascomycota, Eurotiomycetes, Eurotiales, Aspergillaceae. The record is from Rfam.